This is a long non-coding RNA of Cebus imitator (Panamanian white-faced capuchin), 102 nucleotides long. RefSeq lists it as uncharacterized. The record is from RefSeq and is a predicted model, not a curated record. The transcript is spliced from 3 exons. NCBI's taxonomy places the organism in Eukaryota, Metazoa, Chordata, Mammalia, Primates, Cebidae.
UAUUUUAUUCUCUUUUUAUUCCUUCAAGAGCCUGCUCCACCCAGAAAAGCACACUUUGUGAGAACCAAUGGGAAGGAGACUGAACUGCUGUGAACCUAUUCC